RNAcentral lists this long non-coding RNA (467 nucleotides) under Homo sapiens (human). RNAcentral's name for it is "non-protein coding lnc-SLC35E2-1:1". Lineage: Eukaryota; Metazoa; Chordata; Mammalia; Primates; Hominidae. The record is from RNAcentral.
CUGGGUGACAGAGUGAGACUCCAUCUCAAAAUAAAAAGAAAAAGGCACAGAAGUGUGUCAACUUGGGAGAAGAAAGAGCCCUCUGACUCCCACUGGCCUCCCUGGGGUGGGGCCCCUGACCCCACUGACUUCCCUGAUGCAUGCCCUCUGACUCCUGCUGGACCUCAGGGAACGCAGCUGUUGUUCUCCGGAGUCGGCUGAAGGUCAGGGUGGUGAAGGAGCUCCGGGGGAAGAAGACGGCCGUGCACAAUGGGCUGGGUGAGAACGGCUCGCAGGCUGCAGGCCUGGACAUGGAUGUCGGGAAGCAGGCCAUGCAGUACCAGGUCCUGAAUGAGGUGGUGAUUGACAGAGGCCCCUCCUCCUACCUGUCCAAUGUGGAUGUCUACCUGGACGGACACCUCAUCACCACGGUGCAGGGCGACGGAGUGAUCGUGUCCACCCCGACGGGCAGCACGGCGUAUGCGGCC